GACAGAGGUCCCGAGCGUUGUUCGGAUUCAUUGGGCGUAAAGGGUGCGUAGGCGGCUUGAUAAGUCAGUGGUGAAAGCCGAUCGCUUAACGAUCGAACUGCCAUUGAUACUGUCGGGCUUGAGUAUAGAUGAGGUAGGCGGAAUUGACAGUGUAGCGGUGAAAUGCAUAGAUAUUGUCAAGAACACCAAUUGCGAAGGCAGCUUACUAAGUUAUAACUGACGCUGAGG
Molecule: ribosomal RNA, 228 nt
Filed under: uncultured prokaryote
Description: partial 16S ribosomal RNA
Rfam family: Bacterial small subunit ribosomal RNA
Source: RNAcentral